This 277-nucleotide long non-coding RNA is filed under the name Mytilus galloprovincialis (Mediterranean mussel). The record is from RNAcentral. Lineage: Eukaryota; Metazoa; Mollusca; Bivalvia; Mytilida; Mytilidae.
UAUUUCCGUAUAUAGAUAAAAUUAGUAGUCAUUACUGGUUUGUUGUUAUAUUUUCAAAAAGUUGUAUUAAAUAGUUAACCUAGUUUAAAAUUUCAAGUUAUUUUAAACACGGAAGAUACUUGAACAAUUUCUAAAAACCGCCAAUUUCAUAGUGCAUAGUUCUAGGAAGUACUCGUAGUGAAGGUGAAGGGUAUAUUUUCAGCAUGUGUAUACGUUAAUUUUAUUUUUUUAAUUAUUUAUUGUAUUACAGAUAAGAAAAUGUCGGCGAGCAAAAACU